AGGAGGAAAAAGAGAACACUAAGUCCUAAAACUCAAGAAAGGUUUGGUAGCAGAGACAGAAAAGGAGCUAUAAAUGAAAAGGCAGCAUUCCACGUGUAGAAGGGGGAGGCAUUCCGUGAGCCAGGAGCAAAGACGAGUGGGAUGAACGGCUACGUGGAGCCACAGUCUCUGGCCACUCCCUGUCCUCCCUCCCGGAAUGGCAAGGACGAAGACUACUGCGUAAGCAGAAAACUUGGCAUCUGUGGAGGCUUGCUUUGAGCCCAUCUGCCAGCUGGUGGUAAUGGAUGGGGGAGCGAACAAGAACCCUUCUUGGCGAGUGGAUGAGUUUCCAUUUGGCGCUCUUUUGUUAUUCAACCCAAAGCUAAUCAUUUUUAUUAUCUUAUUAUUUUCCUUCUUUUUUUUCUUUACAGUAUGCUGCCUGCCUGACAUACUGUACAAAUGCUGGCAGGGUUUAAAAAAAAAUCAGAGUUCAAUUCUCAAAUUUUAACACUGGAUCAAUGAACUAUAUAUGCACAUAUUGCCUCAUUCCCCCCACACUUCAACUUUGAUAAAUGAGGAAAUUACACUUUUUAAUGUAUUUGCUAAGACAAUAAACAGGUUAAUCUUGCUGUAA
Molecule: long non-coding RNA, 613 nt
Organism: Suricata suricatta (meerkat)
Lineage: Eukaryota; Metazoa; Chordata; Mammalia; Carnivora; Herpestidae
Exons: 2
Source: RefSeq, a predicted model, not a curated record